This is a long non-coding RNA of Canis lupus familiaris (dog), 893 nucleotides long. RefSeq lists it as uncharacterized. The record is from RefSeq and is a predicted model, not a curated record. NCBI's taxonomy places the organism in Eukaryota, Metazoa, Chordata, Mammalia, Carnivora, Canidae. The transcript has 2 exons.
UCCUGCCUCCCACCAGAGAGCAGCAGCCAGCUCCUCCUGGUCAUCAAGGCCAGUUAUCACCUGACAACACCCUUUCCUUGUCUGUUUGUCCACUGGCAUGAGUAGCCUCAUAUGAACCGAUGGCAGUUCAUAGCUCCUGGUGGAACUCCAGCUAGGUGCCUGCCCUGGGAGCCGGGGCCUCCAAUCCAGCAGAGUCUAGGGUCAUGAGACAGGAGCACGAAUUCCACAGGGGACCGCUGACAGGGAUGGUGGGAACAGAACCAUGCCCACUUCCACCCAGGUUAUACCUUUGCAAAGAAGCUGUGGGCCUGGGGCAGCCUCUUGCUUGGAAGGCAGGCCCUCUGCUCAUGUACUGCAAGCGGGGAUGACAGUGGGGCAGAAGGCAAGAAGAAAACACAAACAGGUUGGGACCAGCUGCCUGAGGCCUGACAGAGAAAUGCCCUCUUUUCCUGUGUGUGUUUUGUGCUUCUCACCGGCAGAGCAGCCAGCAUUUGAGACUUCAAUCAGGACAUAAGUCUUGGGGAAGAAGCCAGCAAGUCACCUGACCUGCCACCAGUCCAGCUCACCAGCUGAGGACCAGGUUAGGCCAAGUGCCCAGGGCUGCCACAUAUGCUGGACAUUUUGUGCAAAGAACAAGUCGUUAUUGGAUGGCAUUCCUGUUGGACAUCUUUGGGUGGAAAUGAACGAGGCUGAUCACUUCCAGGAGAGAAACAAUGAGCACCUAGUGUCCUUGGAUCUUUAUCUGCUGUAUCCUCUUAUAUCUCUUGUAGGACAGCCUUAUCCUCUUUCAUUCAGCCUUCCCAGGACAAGUGGCAGGGGGGUCUCAAAUCUCUGCUUUGACGUUUGAUGCCGUUCAAGGAGCAAUCUCAUUCAAAGAAAGGGCUGAGAAACGA